Molecule: ribosomal RNA, 459 nt
Filed under: uncultured bacterium
Lineage: Bacteria
Description: partial 16S ribosomal RNA
Rfam family: Bacterial small subunit ribosomal RNA
Source: RNAcentral
CCUACGGGUGGCAGCAGUGAGGAAUAUUGGUCAAUGGUCGGGAGACUGAACCAGCCAAGCCGCGUGAGGGAUGAAGGUACAGAGUAUCGUACACCUCUUUUGUCAGGGAACAAAGGCGGGGACGUGUCCCCGGAUGAGUGUACCUGAAGAAAAAGCAUCGGCUAACUCCGUGCCAGCAGCCGCGGUAAUACGGAGGAUGCGAGCGUUAUCCGGAUUUGUUGGGUGAAAGGGGUGCGCAGGCGGUCUGUUAAGUCAGCGGUCAAAGCCCGGGGCUCAACCCCGGCCCGCCGUUGAAACUGGCAGUCUCGAGUUGGAGAGAAGUAUGCGGAAUGCGCGGUGUAGCGGUGAAAUGCAUAGAUAUCGCGCAGAACUCCGAUUGCGAAGGCAGCAUACCGGCGCGCAACUGACGCUCAUGCACGAAAGCGUGGGUAUCGAACAGGAUUAGAUACCCCUGUAGUC